AUCCUUUUUUUCCGAUUAAAAAACAAAAGAAAACAGAAACUGCUGCUUGCUUGUUUGUGUCUGUGCACACGCACAUGGCGCGCGCACGUGCGCACAUGUAUCUUUUUCACACAUUUGUUUCAUUUGCUCCUGUUGUGUACACUUGGAAAGAAGGAAACACCAAGAGGUCCUCUAUUAGUAUGUUGCUCUGUAUAAACACACUUCACUAAACUCAAAAAAUAAAGGCAUCAGACUGCUUGCUCUCUGCUGAAAAGUUUUCCACGAAAUCUUAUGUUGUAACUGAGCUGAUGUACUUUCAUCAAUAAAUUGUGCCAACGACUCUACUUCCUUCCACUCCUCUCAAGCAGUUCAAGCAAACUAAUUUAGGAGAAAACAGGAUGAAACUAACUGGCCAAGAAAAUGUGUGCUUGAAGGAUCUGGGGCACAAUCUGCGCACACCUGAAGGGGCUGUCUGGGUCCACCACACAUCUUCCAGAAAGACCACGAUGAACAAAAGCACGGCCCCAGGGCUUGGGCGCACUGGUCCCAGGACACUGGCCUCCUGAUCACUGGUGGAGGCGACCAGCAAAAUGUUGCCCCAGAGAUCUCCUGAGCACCUGGGAUGCACAGAUGACUGGCGUGAGAGAGCACAUGGAGCAGAGCGGCUAGGUAAGGAUGGUGCCUGCUAACCCAGCACUGAGCAAAGCAGUGGUGGCAGUGGCUGACCGGUUUCUUGCCUUAGUGCUUUUAAAAAGGAGGAAACUAUUUGCUGUGGGGGUAGGAAAUGUCCUUACUCUGGGGAGUUUAAAGAUCUGAGGAGGGAGGGGAGAAUUGGUUUGUGGGCAUGGGGGGGGGGCGGUCUGCAUCUGGAGAGAGCGCAAUCUGGUGCCCAGUUGGAGUUCUGAGACCAAGGGUGGGGAAUGCCAGGGUGACAGCAUGUGCAGGGAAAGUGGCGGGAAUAAUAUGAGUGGUGGUGGGAAAGAAAACCAGGGAUGCCUUACCCAGCUCUCUGCCCCCGAAUGCUGGAAUCAUAUCUAGGUGUGAAAUGCCUGGACCAGGGGCACUUCUUAGCCAGGCAUGUGUGCAUGCUUGUGUGAGUCCCUGAAUUUGAUUUCCUAAGGCUUUCAGAAAGCUAAAGCAGACAUCCGCUGGGUCACAAGUUCACAUGGCAUUUCGGGGUGAAGUGGCAAAUUUGACACUUAGUGUAACACGUGGGGAGAGGUUUGUAGCCUGGGUGAGCAUCUUUACUGACCCAAGAGAGUAUGCUGGCUGAGGCUGAGUGGCCUAUGCUGAAUUGCACCAGACCUCCUCCCUGGAACCCUCCCCCAGCACAGCCUCCUAAGAGCUGGGUUCGUUUCUGUGAGAUUUGAAGUGCUCGGGCCUGGGGAAGGGUUGAUUCCAGCAGCAGAAUUCACUUGUCUACUUUGUGCCUGUGCGUGUUAGAAUUGUGAUCCUCUUUGGCGUGUGUUAGACUGUCCUAGCAUUCAGGUUGGAAGUGGUAGAGGAAGCAGGGGUUUGAGAAUUGCAUCCAUAUGGACAGAUUUAAAAAUGCAAACAUUUGUUUGU
RNAcentral lists this long non-coding RNA (1545 nucleotides) under Sus scrofa (pig). RNAcentral describes it as "lncRNA (ENSSSCG00065045610.1)". Lineage: Eukaryota; Metazoa; Chordata; Mammalia; Artiodactyla; Suidae. The record is from RNAcentral.